UGUGUUCCAUGGCUAUACAUCUCAUGUUUAUAUGCUUUAAAAAAGACAAAUACGUCUAUCUAUACUGGCAAGAUGCAAAGGCCUGCCAGGGAUUUUUCUAUGAGGCCCUAAACCAUGGUCUCUGCCAACAACUCCUCCAUCUCCCCAUGGCUCUCAAGAAAUAGAACUGCUCCAUCCUGAAGAUCCCUUGGAGCCUGUUGAGUUUUGUGGAAAAGAAAAUCACAUAAAGUUUUCUCCGUGACACACCUAGCAAGGCAUUUUCAAGUCCAA
Molecule: long non-coding RNA, 270 nt
Organism: Homo sapiens (human)
Lineage: Eukaryota; Metazoa; Chordata; Mammalia; Primates; Hominidae
Exons: 3
Source: RefSeq, a predicted model, not a curated record